This 148-nucleotide ribosomal RNA is filed under the name uncultured archaeon. RNAcentral's name for it is "partial 16S ribosomal RNA". It matches the Rfam family "Archaeal small subunit ribosomal RNA", at positions 321 to 473 of the family's 1478-position model. The record is from RNAcentral.
CCCUACGGGGUGCAGCAGGCGCGAAAACUUUACCAUGCGGGCAACCGUGAUAAGGAAACCCCGAGUGCCAGCACAGGCUGGCUGUCCGCCAGUUUAAACAACUGGCGAAGAAAGGGCCGGGCAAGACCGGUGCCAGCCGCCGCGGUAA